GUGAUGACAAUGGACUGAACUUCUGAAACUAAGAUGCUGUCUUGCUCUACUCAGCCUCUACAUCAGAUCCUAGUAAUGAGCUGCUUAGCUAUGUUGGAACUUAUGAUAUUUAAUAAAUAAUAUAUGACCCCUUACUCAAAAAAAUGUUUGGUUGGCUAACAAAGAGGACUGCAAAGGAGAAUUCCCAAAAGAUAGCUGUAUUUGCAGAAACUGAGUGACUAGAAUUUCAGCACUGUGGAAAGACUGGAAUGUGGCAAAGAUAGGAUCCCGUGGGACUGCGCUGCAGGCAGACGGACUGGCGUGUUCGUUAUAAAGACGGGUAAGUAUUUAUCAUGGGGCAAUCAGAAUCAAAAGGGAAAAAAUUGUUCCUGUCAGUGUUUAAACACAUGCUGUCUGGAAGAGGCCUAAAAAUCUCGGAUAAAUCUUUACAAGAAUU
Molecule: long non-coding RNA, 436 nt
Organism: Mus musculus (house mouse)
Lineage: Eukaryota; Metazoa; Chordata; Mammalia; Rodentia; Muridae
Product: predicted gene, 45943
Exons: 3
Source: RefSeq, a predicted model, not a curated record